RNAcentral lists this ribosomal RNA (511 nucleotides) under uncultured bacterium. Its description in RNAcentral is "partial 16S ribosomal RNA". It matches the Rfam family "Bacterial small subunit ribosomal RNA", at positions 355 to 857 of the family's 1533-position model. The record is from RNAcentral.
UGGGGAAUAUUGCACAAUGGGCGCAAGCCUGAUGCAGCCAUGCCGCGUGUGUGAAGAAGGCCUUCGGGUUGUAAAGCACUUUCAGCGAGGAGGAAGGUGGUGAGCUUAAUACGCUCAUCAAUUGACGUUACUCGCAGAAGAAGCACCGGCUAACUCCGUGCCAGCAGCCGCGGUAAUACGGAGGGUGCAAGCGUUAAUCGGAAUUACUGGGCGUAAAGCGCACGCAGGCGGUUUGUUAAGUCAGAUGUGAAAUCCCCGGGCUCAACCUGGGAACUGCAUUUGAAACUGGCAAGCUAGAGUCUCGUAGAGGGGGGUAGAAUUCCAGGUGUAGCGGUGAAAUGCGUAGAGAUCUGGAGGAAUACCGGUGGCGAAGGCGGCCCCCUGGACGAAGACUGACGCUCAGGUGCGAAAGCGUGGGGAGCAAACAGAUUAGAUACCCUGGUAGUCCACGCUGUAAAACGAUGUCGAUUUUGGAGGUUGUGCCCUUGAGGCGUGGNUUCCGGAGCUAACG